AGCCGAGGCCGAGGUCAGCAACUUUGCAUCCUGGCCCUACCCUCUCCAGGGAACUCAGCGUCUAGGGACAGAAUUCGGCUGCUCGGAAAGAAAAGGGAAGGGGAGCGACUCUCAGCAGCCGCGCAGGGGAGGGGGGUUCGGGCGCCUCUGGCCAAGCUCCCAGAGGGGCCCCGCUGCCUCUCCCACCUUCCUUCGCUUCGCUUUUUUCCUUUAUUAUCUCAUUUUUCCUUCUCCCCAGCCUCUCCUCCUCUCUCGCCCGCCUCGCUCUUAGCCCCCUUUCUGUCUCCCUCUGUCCCUGUGUCUCUGUCUCUGUCUCAUCUUUCCUCUUCCUGGCUUGCCAGGCUUCCCGCUCGCCCCGGCUUUCCCGUUGUUAAUUAUUCAGCCCCCUGGCCCCGUACCCAGUCCCGCCUGCCGCAUGGAGUUUGCGCGGAGAGGGACGCUGUCCGCUUCCCCCGGGGUUGGGGUCCGGAACGGCGGGCGGGGAGCGGGCGACGCUCUGCAGUCCCCGCGCUCUCGGCUGCCCAGGCUGGCCCGAGGCUCCGCUUGACGCCGCGAACCCAGACACCGCGCGUAAAGGGCCUCGCGGCGGAGAGCACACUCGCGGGGAGACCCGGCGCUGGGACGACGCGGCCGGGAGGAUUUCCCCGGCCAAGUUCAGCGGCGGCGGAGGUGGGGGCGAAGCAGUCCCUCGGCUCCCGGCCCUCGGGCUCCCGCGGCUCGCCGCAGGUGGGGCUGGCUGACCGUCCAGCCGGCUCUUCGCCCGAGCCGGGUGCUGGCGGCUGGCAACCCGCGGAGGAGGCCCCGGCGCUGCGCACCCGCCUGGCCCCGCUGAGCCCGCGGCCCGAGACUCCCAAACGCCCCGUCGCCCCGUCUAGGGCCCCCUUCCCUGCGGGCGCCAUGGAGCGGUUUCCCGGCCCUGUUUUUUCUUCGCCUUUUCUAUCACUUAGUUCAACACCUUUUACGUCUCCUUUAGCUCGAAAAUAUGUCUCCUUUUUAUUUCAUUUAGCGUUAUUUUAUCCUUUUUAUUGUAACGUUUUAUUUUUUUUUUCGAGUGGGUUUUAUUUUUCCUUUUUAUCUGUUUCCGAUGGAUUCUCUUUUCUUUCUGCUCACUUCUCGCCUCGGGUCCGGAGCCCGCACUUCGUUUCCUCUUCCCCGCGCGCCCGCGGCCCUAAGGCUGGCGUCGGCGGUGCCCGCGGUGGUCCCGCCCGGGCGAGGGCGCGAGGGUCCCCGUUUCACGCAGAACUCGGUCCGCGCGCCCCGCGAGUCUGCGCCCCAGGCCGCUGCGGAGCUAGGACUUUGACGAAAGCGGGAGCCCGAGUCGCUGCCGCCGGCAAGAGCGCCGAGAGCAGACAGGGGCGCCACGGGGGCCCUGCCCGCAGUUUCUGGCCUGGUUUUGGCCUGGCCCAGGCGCACACAGAGGACCCAGACCUGCAAUUCACACUGAGGCUGCAGGCCCACGCUCGCUGA
RNAcentral lists this long non-coding RNA (1467 nucleotides) under Callithrix jacchus (white-tufted-ear marmoset). RNAcentral describes it as "lncRNA (ENSCJAG00000075414.1)". Lineage: Eukaryota; Metazoa; Chordata; Mammalia; Primates; Cebidae. The record is from RNAcentral.